GAUGAACGCUGGCGGCGUGCCUAAUACAUGCAAGUCGAGCGAACAGACGAGGAGCUUGCUCCUCUGACGAUAGCGGCGGACGGGUGAGUAACACGUGGAUAACCUACCUAUAAGACUGGGAUAACUUCGGGAAACCGGAGCUAAUACCGGAUAAUAUAUUGAACCGCAUGGUUCAAUAGUGAAAGACGGUUUUGCUGUCACUUAUAGAUGGAUCCGCGCCGCAUUAGCUAGUUGGUAAGGUAACGGCUUACCAAGGCGACGAUGCGUAGCCGACCUGAGAGGGUGAUCGGCCACACUGGAACUGAGACACGGUCCAGACUCCUACGGGAGGCAGCAGUAGGGAAUCUUCCGCAAUGGGCGAAAGCUUGACGGAGCAACGCCGCGUGAGUGAUGAAGGUCUUCGGAUCGUAAAACUCUGUUAUUAGGGAAGAACAAAUGUGUAAGUAACUAUGCACGUCUUGACGGUACCUAAUCAGAAAGCCACGGCUAACUACGUG
RNAcentral lists this ribosomal RNA (497 nucleotides) under uncultured bacterium. RNAcentral's name for it is "partial 16S ribosomal RNA". It matches the Rfam family "Bacterial small subunit ribosomal RNA", at positions 28 to 507 of the family's 1533-position model. The record is from RNAcentral.